CUGGUAAUUUUAUUAAACAACACUACAAGAGAAGACAUAGAAAAGGUCCGGACUGCUAAAAACAACACAAAGGCUCAAGAUGGCCAAACUUAAAAAUACAAGGACGAGACUCAAACAUGGGCCCAACCAAGAACGCCCAGAAAGAAAAGACACGUAUGCUUCACGUGUACGAAGAAGAGAUUGAAAGAAAACAUGAUUCGAAACGCAGAAACUGCAUCCAUACCGCCACCGACAAAAGCUUUAUGCCGGAACUCUGAAAAACCACAGGAGACCAAUCUUAUCAAAGCCAGAAAAAAUACAUGAAUAAAACAGAGACAAACGAGCGAACCACCAAAUCAAUCACUUCAACCGAAUCAAUCACUUCACCGGAUUAAAAACACCCAAUCUGAACCACUACGACCUAAUCUCUACGGAUUGAAAGACGUCGUCGGAAACCUAAGCGUUAAACUACUGGAACCUACCGGGGACAUGACCACGAUCAAAGAAACCCACCAGCUUCAAAGCAUACACAUUCAUUGCCUAAGCCACAUCCAUCGGAGAGCGUCAAUAGACCAGUCGAGAAAUCAUCCACAACACCAAGCCACCAAACACAAAGAAACAUAACCGUCCCACAGAUCGAGAAUACUCGGGGGGGGGGGGGGGGG
RNAcentral lists this long non-coding RNA (644 nucleotides) under Brassica napus (rape). RNAcentral's name for it is "long non-coding RNA (BNAP_LNC002602)". The record is from RNAcentral. Lineage: Eukaryota; Viridiplantae; Streptophyta; Magnoliopsida; Brassicales; Brassicaceae.